GGCUGAAGUUAGUGAUUUAUCUCAAUUGUUGCAGAUCAAACUCCUUAUUCUACUCUUUCCCCCUUCUCACUACUGUAUUUGACUAUUCUUAA
Molecule: Y RNA, 92 nt
Filed under: Aotus nancymaae (Ma's night monkey)
Lineage: Eukaryota; Metazoa; Chordata; Mammalia; Primates; Aotidae
Description: Y RNA (ENSANAG00000004243.1)
Rfam family: Y RNA
About the family: Y RNAs are components of the Ro ribonucleoprotein particle (Ro RNP), in association with Ro60 and La proteins.
Source: RNAcentral